Long non-coding RNA from Anopheles stephensi (Asian malaria mosquito), 154 nucleotides. RefSeq lists it as uncharacterized. Lineage: Eukaryota; Metazoa; Arthropoda; Insecta; Diptera; Culicidae. The record is from RefSeq and is a predicted model, not a curated record. The transcript has 3 exons.
UUGGGUGUGUGUGUGUGUGAGUGUGUGUGUGUGUGUGUGUGUGUGUGUGUGUGUGUGUGUGUGUGUGUGUGUGGGCAGGACUUGAUUCCGUCCAUCGAUGAGACGGUUUACUCAUACAUGCUACUGUAACGGUGGGCGUAAAGUAUGAUGGCGA